RNAcentral lists this non-coding RNA (99 nucleotides) under Cruoricaptor ignavus. RNAcentral's name for it is "SAM-I-IV sequence". It matches the Rfam family "SAM-I/IV (S-adenosyl methionine) riboswitch aptamer". From Rfam's summary of the family: It is found upstream of a number of genes which code for proteins involved in methionine or cysteine biosynthesis. It has been found mostly in the order Actinomycetales. The record is from Rfam by way of RNAcentral. Lineage: Bacteria; Pseudomonadati; Bacteroidota; Flavobacteriia; Flavobacteriales; Weeksellaceae.
GGAAAUCAUCAGGAGCGCCGCAAAAUUGCGGACACCAACCGAGAGACCAAAAUCCACGGUGGUUUAGUAUGAGGGCUAUCGCCAAAAUAUAAGAUGCAU